GUAUGUAGCUUAGUUGGUAGAGUGCUUGCCUUGCAUGCACAAGGCCCUGAGUUUGAUCCCCAGCACCACA
This 70-nucleotide transfer RNA is filed under the name Marmota monax (woodchuck). Its description in RNAcentral is "tRNA.Ala". The stretch from base 4 to 65 matches the Rfam family "tRNA", at positions 6 to 65 of the family's 71-position model. From Rfam's summary of the family: Transfer RNA (tRNA) molecules are approximately 80 nucleotides in length. Lineage: Eukaryota; Metazoa; Chordata; Mammalia; Rodentia; Sciuridae. The record is from RNAcentral.